AUUGAACGCUGGCGGCAGGCUUGACACAUGCAAGUCGAGCGGGGGAAGGUAGCUUGCUACCGGACCUAGCGGCGGACGGGUGAGUAAUGCUUAGGAAUCUGCCUAUUAGUGGGGGACAACGUCUCGAAAGGGAUGCUAAUACCGCAUACGUCCUACGGGAGAAAGCAGGGGAUCUUCGGACCUUGCGCUAAUAGAUGAGCCUAAGUCGGAUUAGCUAGUUGGUGGGGUAAAGGCCUACCAAGGCGACGAUCUGUAGCGGGUCUGAGAGGAUGAUCCGCCACACUGGGACUGAGACACGGCCCAGACUCCUACGGGAGGCAGCAGUGGGGAAUAUUGGACAAUGGGGGGAACCCUGAUCCAGCCAUGCCGCGUGUGUGAAGAAGGCCUUAUGGUUGUAAAGCACUUUGAGCGAGGAGGAGGCUACUUUAGUUAAUACCUAGAGAUAGUGGACGUUACUCGCAGAAUAAGCACCGGCUAACUCUGUGCCAGCCGCCGCCGUAA
Molecule: ribosomal RNA, 501 nt
Filed under: uncultured bacterium
Lineage: Bacteria
Description: partial 16S ribosomal RNA
Rfam family: Bacterial small subunit ribosomal RNA
Source: RNAcentral